RNAcentral lists this small RNA (1666 nucleotides) under Rattus norvegicus (Norway rat). Its description in RNAcentral is "uncharacterized LOC108351266". The record is from RNAcentral. Lineage: Eukaryota; Metazoa; Chordata; Mammalia; Rodentia; Muridae.
GAUCUGGCUUCAAAGAGUUGCUCCCAACUUCUCAAAAAGCUGAUCCAGCUUCUUCUGUCUCUAGGAGGCUUCACUGAGACCCCAAAGCAGGACCUGUCGAGUCGAGUUUCUAUGUAUAUGUAAUGGUGGGUCUCCGCUGGGGUUUCUGCUUUGGAUUCAUUUAGUGAAGUGACCCUGUCUUGAAUGUCUCCUUCCUGAGUGGUCCUGGCCAGCCCAUGUAGUGUAGAGGACUCCAUCCAUGAUAAUGGGCUGGAAUGAUUUAGCUGUGGACCAUGAGACCAGGGAGGCUGAGGAGUGUUUUGUGUCAGAGUGUCACAGUAUGUUUUACUCCCGCCUGGCCUGUUCUCUCUCAGGGAGGAAGAAUACCCUGGAAAAGUACAUGAGACAGAUGACCUGUUUCUCAGAGAGCACCAGCUAGAAGGGACCUAUGCAUUCUAAGGAGGAAGCAGGUUAGAGGACCAGGCUGCUACCCCUCCCUCCAUGACUCACUACAGAUGGCUUCAGGGCUCUGUGGAGUGAGUACCUAGCUAACUCUCCCCACUUGAGCUAAAGCAUCUCCGUGGCGAUGUUUUUGUACCAUUUUCUCUGUAAGUUUUCACGCCCUUGCUAUGUCUACUUCAGGGACUACAGUAAUUGCGGACAUCAUUGUCUGAUGGUGAAUAGACAGGAUGUGGAAGGUAUCAGCAUGUGACAAGAUGGAAGAUGUCUCUAGAGAUGGACUGGAUGUGGCGCGGGUUUCUGAGGAAGGAAGCUAGCCUAAGGAGAGACCUAGAUCAGCACUAACAUGAGGACCAGCCUCAGCAUCUAAAACUCCUACUGGAACCUGGACCCAGAUAUGAGGAGACAUGAGGGCCAUUCAUUCACCCAUCUAGUCCAUGAGUGCUGUUCUUGGUAGACGGUAGCAAGAGACAGGAGCUGAUGGUGUGGCCCUUACAAAGGGAGAACAUUCAGCACUCACCCACAUCUGGGAAUGGUGCCUCCUGUCCAGAUAUAUAGCCAAGACACCAAGGGCAAGGACAUUCUGGUUCCGUUCUGAGACAAUGACUGGCACACAGUAGGGCCCUGAAACAGGCCAGCUGACUGUCAGGGGCAUGAGGCAAAAGGGAAGCGACUGCUGCUUGCUACUACCACAUCCAGUGGCCAAGCUGUUUGGAUGGAAAGAGGAAUCAUGAAGCCUCCACCAACAAGUGGGCAGCCAGAGGCACACACGUCUUGCUCAAGAAAAACAACUUUGUCAUCAUGUCUUGCCCUUGAAAAUACCCCUGUACAGCCAGAGAACCAAGAGCCAGGCACAUGCCCAUGGGAUCUGAUGGUCUAUGGUCUGUUCUUAUCAUCCUGAGCAGAAAGUCAUCAGGUGAGAGCCAGUCUUAAGACUUGGCUUACCCAUUCAAAUGAUCUGUGCAGAACCAAUUCUGUUUUCAUCCUAACAACAAGGUAUUUAUUUCUUUUCAAGGAUCUUAAGUGAAGCCUAGCUUCUCAGUUGUUCCCACAACCCGUUACUGGAAUUCCCUAAUUUCUAUUCCCCGAGACAAGAAUAAUUGAAUACAGGGCUUUGUUGGUCUUUGGCAAACACACUUAGAAUCACUGCUGCCUUUGGCAGGAUAAGGGCAAGGUAGACAGGUAACCAACCGUAAGAAAUUCCAAUAAAAGUUCUGAUUAAAGGUAA